Molecule: long non-coding RNA, 1083 nt
Organism: Fundulus heteroclitus (mummichog)
Lineage: Eukaryota; Metazoa; Chordata; Actinopteri; Cyprinodontiformes; Fundulidae
Exons: 3
Source: RefSeq, a predicted model, not a curated record
ACUUAAAAGAGGGACGGACAACAAGGAAGACAGGGCAAAUAAAUUACAGUUAAAUUUACAAGAUAUUUUAGGAAAAAUUUCUACUUCUAAAGAUAUAAGUUACUUAAUUAAUUAUCUCAAGAAAACAAAAUUGAUAGAAAAGAUAUAAGUUGUUUUUUGUUUUGCUUUGAGGGGGGUGUUUAAAGUUAGCGUGCCGAUCCACACUCCAUUCCAGUAGAUGGCGGUAAUGCACAUCUAAAAGUUGCUUGCCAACCGCCAUAAAAAAGGAGAAGAAGAAGGAAGAGAGGGCAGAAAAGAAAGCAAGCCAGACAAAGAGGACGGAAGUUUGGGGGACUCUUGUGAUCAGAGAUCCUGGUCAAUUUGUGCAGAGGAGGACAAAUCUGUAGACGAGCAGAGAGGCAGCUGAUAAUAUACCCUAGUCAAAAAAAAUCUGCUCUUCUGGACUUGCUUGGGUGAUAGCAGUCAGAAGAUUAAGAAACAGGAAGUAUCAAGAUAUCCUGUGAUAAGUGUGGUGUCAUCUCCUUUGCAUGGGAUGUACGAACACAGCAGAGACAUUUGUUUGCGCUGCUUGCUAAAGAUAGAAGAUAUCUCUAACUGUUAUACAAGUUGUGCAUUUGUUCAGUACUUUAUUUGAAGUUGUUUUUCUAAUUAUCAGUACUAAUUAUUUGUUUUAUAGCAAAUAUAAUUGUUUUAUUCAAGUUCAAAAAUAUCCUAAGGUUGAAAAAUGCACAGUCCAAGGAAUCUAAAAACUAAUAAAUGAUCAACAGUCAAUGUUUAUGUUUCGCGCCAUCUUCAGUUCACCAGUCUAUUCCCACAGCUGUUUGAUAUUCUGUUUGUUACUCACCUGAAUUUAAUUCUGUUGAUUACGUCCCAGCGUAUUAAAAUUCCUGGUUUCUGUUUCUCCAUUGCUUGAUUCUCUGUUUGUUUCAUUGUUGCAGUUUUCAGUUGAUUAUUAAAGAGACCACUUUUAUGAUGGCUCUGCGUGGCUCCUGCUGCAUUUUGGGCCCUAAACCACCACAAAUUCUGAGGCAAUGUUUAUUAAAAGAAGGACUUCUGUGUAGACUGUUUGUUCUUCUGUGUUGG